This 76-nucleotide transfer RNA is filed under the name Bifidobacterium asteroides. RNAcentral describes it as "tRNA-Phe". It matches the Rfam family "tRNA". Rfam says of the family: Transfer RNA (tRNA) molecules are approximately 80 nucleotides in length. RNAcentral also lists the same sequence under 43 other names. Lineage: Bacteria; Bacillati; Actinomycetota; Actinomycetes; Bifidobacteriales; Bifidobacteriaceae. The record is from RNAcentral.
GGCUCUGUAGCUCAGUUGGUAGAGCGAGCGACUGAAAAUCGCUAGGUCAACGGUUCGAUCCCGCUCGGAGCCACCA